UUGCGGUUAAAAGCUCGUAGUUGGAUCUCGGCGAACAGGGGGCGGUUCGUUAUUUGACGGUACUGCCCCAUUUGUUCGUAUUUUUGCAAGAGGAUUGGGGGUCCCCUUUGUUGGGUGUCUCCGGUCGCUUGCAGGUUUACUUUGNAAAAAAAAAUUAGAGUGCUCAAAGCAGGCUUACACGCUUGAAUAUUCGUGCAUGGAAUAAUAGAAUAGGAAGUCGGUUUCUAAUUUUGGUUGGGUUUUCGGGAAAAUGACUUAAUGAUUAAUAGGGACAAUCGGGGGCAUUAGUAUUCAAACGACAGAGGUGAAAUUCUUGGACCGUUUGAAGACUAACUACUGCGAAAGCAUUUGCCAAGAGUGUUUUCAUUAAUCAAGAACGAAAGUUAGAGGUUCGAAGGCGAUCAGAUACCGCCCUGGUUCUAACCAUAAACGAUGCCAGCUAGCGAUCUGCGGGUGUGUAAAAAC
This 465-nucleotide ribosomal RNA is filed under the name uncultured eukaryote. RNAcentral's name for it is "partial 18S ribosomal RNA". It matches the Rfam family "Eukaryotic small subunit ribosomal RNA", at positions 613 to 1071 of the family's 1831-position model. The record is from RNAcentral.